GCCGGUGUAGCUUAAUUGGUAGAGCAACUGACUUGUAAUCAGUAGGUUGGGGGUUCAAGUCCUCUUGCCGGCACCA
Molecule: transfer RNA, 76 nt
Filed under: Bacillus subtilis
Lineage: Bacteria; Bacillati; Bacillota; Bacilli; Caryophanales; Bacillaceae
Description: tRNA-Thr
Rfam family: tRNA
About the family: Transfer RNA (tRNA) molecules are approximately 80 nucleotides in length. Their secondary structure includes four short double-helical elements and three loops (D, anti-codon, and T loops). Further hydrogen bonds mediate the characteristic L-shaped molecular structure. tRNAs have two regions of fundamental functional importance: the anti-codon, which is responsible for specific mRNA codon recognition, and the 3' end, to which the tRNAs corresponding amino acid is attached (by aminoacyl-tRNA synthetases). tRNAs cope with the degeneracy of the genetic code in two manners: having more than one tRNA (with a specific anti-codon) for a particular amino acid; and 'wobble' base-pairing, i.e. permitting non-standard base-pairing at the 3rd anti-codon position.
Source: RNAcentral